CAAAUAAUAUAAUUUAAUUUUAUUAAUAAAAAUUAAUUAUUUUUAUAAAAUAAUAUAUUUAAAUUUAUUAGGUGAAAUUUUAAAUUUAAUUUUUAUUUUAAUAAUUAAAUGAAGUUUGGAAAUUUUAAUAUUAAACUAGGAUUAGAUACCCUAUUAUUUAAAAUGUAAUUAUUAUUAUUAAAUUAUUAUUAGUUAUGUUCUUUAAAAUUAAAAAUUUUGGCGGUAUUUUAGUCUUUUCAGAGGAACCUGUUUUUUAAAUGAUAAUCCACGAUUUAAUUUACUUUUAUUAUUAGUUUGUAUAUCAUCGUAAUUAAGUAUUUUAUUAGAAUUAAAUAUUUAAGAUUUUAAAUUAAAAAAUUAUUCAGAUCAAGGUGCAAUUUAUAUAAAAGUUAAAAUGGGUUACAUUAAAUAUAUUUUAAGAAAAUUUUUAUUAAUAGAAAUUUGAAUUUGGAUUUGAUAGUAAUUUUGAUUAAUUUAUCUAAAUGAUUUUGCUCUAAAAU
Molecule: ribosomal RNA, 500 nt
Filed under: Neolochmaea dilatipennis
Lineage: Eukaryota; Metazoa; Arthropoda; Insecta; Coleoptera; Chrysomelidae
Description: partial 12S ribosomal RNA
Source: RNAcentral